GAUGAACGCUGGCGGCGUGCCUAAUACAUGCAAGUCGAGCGAACGGACGAGAAGCUUGCUUCUCUGAUGUUAGCGGCGGACGGGUGAGUAACACGUGGAUAACCUACCUAUAAGACUGGGAUAACUUCGGGAAACCGGAGCUAAUACCGGAUAAUAUUUUGAACCGCAUGGUUCAAAAGUGAAAGACGGUCUUGCUGUCACUUAUAGAUGGAUCCGCGCUGCAUUAGCUAGUUGGCAAGGUAACGGCUUACCAAGGCAACGAUGCAUAGCCGACCUGAGAGGGUGAUCGGCCACACUGGAACUGAGACACGGUCCAGACUCCUACGGGAGGCAGCAGUAGGGAAUCUUCCGCAAUGGGCGAAAGCCUGACGGAGCAACGCCGCGUGAGUGAUGAAGGUCUUCGGAUCGUAAAACUCUGUUAUUAGGGAAGAACAUAUGUGUAAGUAACUGUGCACAUCUUGACGGUACCUAAUCAGAAAGCCACGGCUAACUACGUGCCAGCAGCCGCGGUAAUACGUAGGUGGCAAGCGUUAUCCGGAAUUAUUGGGCGUAAAGCGCGCGUAGGCGGUUUUUUAAGUCUGAUGUGAAAGCCCACGGCUCAACCGUGGAGGGUCAUUGGAAACUGGAAAACUUGAGUGCAGAAGAGGAAAGUGGAAUUCCAUGUGUAGCGGUGAAAUGCGCAGAGAUAUGGAGGAACACCAGUGGCGAAGGCGACUUUCUGGUCUGUAACUGACGCUGAUGUGCGAAAGCGUGGGGAUCAAACAGGAUUAGAUACCCUGGUAGUCCACGCCGUAAACGAUGAGUGCUAAGUGUUAGGGGGUUUCCGCCCCUUAGUGCUGCAGCUAACGCAUUAAGCACUCCGCCUGGGGAGUACGACCGCAAGGUUGAAACUCAAAGGAAUUGACGGGGACCCGCACAAGCGGUGGAGCAUGUGGUUUAAUUCGAAGCAACGCGAAGAACCUUACCAAAUCUUGACAUCCUUUGACAACUCUAGAGAUAGAGCUUUCCCCUUCGGGGGACAAAGUGACAGGUGGUGCAUGGUUGUCGUCAGCUCGUGUCGUGAGAUGUUGGGUUAAGUCCCGCAACGAGCGCAACCCUUAAGCUUAGUUGCCAUCAUUAAGUUGGGCACUCUAAGUUGACUGCCGGUGACAAACCGGAGGAAGGUGGGGAUGACGUCAAAUCAUCAUGCCCCUUAUGAUUUGGGCUACACACGUGCUACAAUGGACAAUACAAAGGGCAGCGAAACCGCGAGGUCAAGCAAAUCCCAUAAAGUUGUUCUCAGUUCGGAUUGUAGUCUGCAGCUCGACUACAUGAAGCUGGAAUCGCUAGUAAUCGUAGAUCAGCAUGCUACGGUGAAUACGUUCCCGGGUCU
Molecule: ribosomal RNA, 1372 nt
Filed under: uncultured bacterium
Lineage: Bacteria
Description: bacterial SSU rRNA
Rfam family: Bacterial small subunit ribosomal RNA
Source: RNAcentral